RNAcentral lists this ribosomal RNA (357 nucleotides) under uncultured bacterium. Its description in RNAcentral is "partial 16S ribosomal RNA". It matches the Rfam family "Bacterial small subunit ribosomal RNA", at positions 338 to 693 of the family's 1533-position model. The record is from RNAcentral.
CCUACGGGUGGCAGCAGUGAGGAAUAUUGGUCAAUGGCCGGGAUGCUGAACCAGCCAAGCCGCGUGAGGGAGGACGGCGCAAUGGGUCGCAGACCUCUUUUGCCGGGGGACAAAAGCCCGGACUAGUCCCGGCCUGCGGGUACCCGGAGAACAAGCAUCGGCUAACUCCGUGCCAGCAGCCGCGGUAAUACGGAGGAUGCGAGCGUUAUCCGGAUUCCUUGGGUUUAAAGGGUGCGUAGGCGGUCCUUUAGGCCGGCGGUGAAAUCGCGGGGCUCAACCCCGCCGAGCCGUGGAAACUGGGGGACUUGAGUGGGCCGGAGGUAUGCGGAAUGCGCGGUGUAGCGGUGAAAUGCAUAG